Molecule: ribosomal RNA, 982 nt
Filed under: human gut metagenome
Description: bacterial LSU rRNA
Rfam family: Bacterial large subunit ribosomal RNA
Source: RNAcentral
UCCUAAGGUAGCGAAAUUCCUUGUCGGGUAAGUUCCGACCUGCACGAAUGGCGUAAUGAUGGCCAGGCUGUCUCCACCCGAGACUCAGUGAAAUUGAACUCGCUGUGAAGAUGCAGUGUACCCGCGGCAAGACGGAAAGACCCCGUGAACCUUUACUAUAGCUUGACACUGAACACUGGUCCUUGAUGUGUAGGAUAGGUGGGAGGCUUUGAAGUGUGGACGCCAGUCUGCAUGGAGCCAUCCUUGAAAUACCACCCUUUAAUGGCUGGUGUUCUAACGUGGGCCCCUAAUCGGGGUUGCGGACAGUGUCUGGUGGGUAGUUUGACUGGGGCGGUCUCCUCCUAAAGAGUAACGGAGGAGCACGAAGGUCAGCUAAUCCUGGUCGGACAUCAGGAGGUUAGUGCAAUGGCAUAAGCUGGCUUGACUGCGAGCGUGACGGCGCGAGCAGGUGCGAAAGCAGGUCAUAGUGAUCCGGUGGUUCUGAAUGGAAGGGCCAUCGCUCAACGGAUAAAAGGUACUCCGGGGAUAACAGGCUGAUACCGCCCAAGAGUUCAUAUCGACGGCGGUGUUUGGCACCUCGAUGUCGGCUCAUCACAUCCUGGGGCUGAAGUAGGUCCCAAGGGUAUGGCUGUUCGCCAUUUAAAGUGGUACGCGAGCUGGGUUUAGAACGUCGUGAGACAGUUCGGUCCCUAUCUGCCGUGGGCGCUGGAGAAUUGAGGGGGGCUGCUCCUAGUACGAGAGGACCGGAGUGGACGCAUCACUGGUGUUCGGGUUGUCAUGCCAAUGGCAUUGCCCGGUAGCUAAAUGCGGAAGAGAUAAGUGCUGAAAGCAUCUAAGCACGAAACUUGCCCCGAGAUGAGUUCUCCCUGACUCCUUGAGAGUCCUGAAGGAACGUUGAAGACGACGACGUUGAUAGGCCGGGUGUGUAAGCGCAGCGAUGCGUUGAGCUAACCGGUACUAAUGAACCGUGAGGCUUAACCUU